Molecule: ribosomal RNA, 235 nt
Filed under: uncultured bacterium
Lineage: Bacteria
Description: partial 16S ribosomal RNA
Rfam family: Bacterial small subunit ribosomal RNA
Source: RNAcentral
UGUCCGGAAUUAUUGGGCGUAAAGAGCUCGUAGGCGGUUUGUCGCGUCUGCUGUGAAAACGCGAGGCUCAACCUCGCGCCUGCAGUGGGUACGGGCAGACUAGAGUGCGGUAGGGGAGAUUGGAAUUCCUGGUGUAGCGGUGGAAUGCGCAGAUAUCAGGAGGAACACCGAUGGCGAAGGCAGAUCUCUGGGCCGUAACUGACGCUGAGGAGCGAAAGCAUGGGGAGCGAACAGG